GGGUGCCUGUAAUCCCAGCUACUCGGGAGGCUGAGACAGGAGAAUUGUUUGAACCCAGGAGGUGGAGGUUGCAGUGAGCCGAGAUCGCACCACUGCACUCCAGACUGGGUGACUGAGACUCCAUCUCAAAAAAAAACAACAACAAAAAACAGCUCUUAGAAUUCUUCAUUAGUUACAAUUUUGUUUCCUCCGUGGCAAUAUGAAUUGCAAUUUGUGAAUUAAAAACAUUAGAAUUUGAAAAAAUUUUGGCUGGACAUGGUAGCUUAUGCCUGUAAUCCCUAGCACUUUGGGACGCCGAGCGAGGCAGGCAGAUCACCUGAGGUCUGGAGUUCAAGACCAGCCUGACCAACAUGGUGAAACCCCUUCUCUACUAAAAAAAUACAAAAAUUAGCCCAGUGUGGUGGCGCAUGCCUGUGGUCCCAGCUACUCAGGAGGCUGAGGCAGGAGAAUCGCUUGAACCCGGGAGGCAGAGGUUGCAGUGAGCCAAGAUCAUGCCACUGUACUCCAGCCUGGGUGACAGAGUGAGACUCAGUCUCAAAAAAUAAAUAAAUAAUAAUAAAUAAAAUAAAAUAAAAUUCAAAAUUAUCUGGACAUCUGAAUUUUAUCUGACAUGCCCUUUCAUCAUAUUGCUAUAUCCUUUGUCUUUCCUCAAUUAUAUUUUAUCAAGAAGGCCUUUUCCAACCAUUUUAUUUAGUAUGGCUCCCCCACCUCCACUUCUCUCAUAAAUUGUUCUGGCCCUAGCACCAGCAUACAGCAUAGUUUCCUGUUUAUUUGCUUAGUGUCUGUCUCCUUCAGUAUAGAAUGUAAUCUUGUGGCGGUCAUGGUGGCUAACACCUGUAAUCCCAGUACUUUGGGAGGCUGAGGCACGUGGAUCAUUUGAGGUCAGGAAUUCAAUACCAGCCUGACCAAUGUGGUGAAACCCUAUCUCCACUAAAAAUACAAAAAAAUUAGUCUGGCAUGGUGGCACAAGCCUGUAGUCACAGCUACUCAGGAGACUGAUGCAGGAGAAUUGCUAGAACCCGGGAGACAGAGGUUGCAGUGAGCUGAGAUCGCACCACUGCACUCCAGCCUGGGCGACAGAGUGAGACUCCAUCUCAAAAAAAAUAAAGUAAUCUUGUGAGGGCAGGAUUUUGAUGCUAUGUUCACCACUGACUCCAAAAUGGCACAUAGCGGGCUCUCAGUAGAUAUCUAUUGAACAAAUGGAAGCAUAAAUAAACAAGCAAUGCUACACUUGCUUUCUCCAGCACCAUGGGAGCAGAUCCAGGGAGCAGACAGGGAAAGAAGGCUACAGCCCCUGCCCCCUGGUGGAGCUGGAAGAAUCAAUAAUUUUCAUUUAUUUAUUCAUCUAAUGUGCUUUGCACGCUCCCUAUCUGCCAGGAUCAGCUUGUUGCCAGGGAUACCGGGUAAACAAUCCCAUAAGGUUCCUGUGGUCUGGAGGAAGAAACAGACAUUAACGCACAAUAGGGAGAUGGUUACUUAAUUAUAGUGGUGAACUGUCAAUGAAGGAAAAGC
This 1512-nucleotide long non-coding RNA is filed under the name Homo sapiens (human). Its description in RNAcentral is "HSALNT0039028". The record is from RNAcentral. Lineage: Eukaryota; Metazoa; Chordata; Mammalia; Primates; Hominidae.